Molecule: ribosomal RNA, 253 nt
Filed under: uncultured bacterium
Lineage: Bacteria
Description: partial 16S ribosomal RNA
Rfam family: Bacterial small subunit ribosomal RNA
Source: RNAcentral
UACGGGGGGGGUAAGCGUUGUUCGGAAUUACUGGGCGUAAAGGGCUCGUAGGCGGCCAACUAAGUCAGACGUGAAAUCCCUCAGCUUAACUGGGGAACUGCGUCUGAUACUGGAUGGCUUGGAUUCGGGAGAGGAAUGCGGAAUUCCAGGUGUAGCGGUGAAAUGCGUAGAUAUCUGGAGGAACACCAAUGGCGAAGGCAGCUCGCUGGGACGUUACUGACGCUGAGACGCGAAAGCGUGGGGAGCAAACAGG